AGAGAAAACGCCACCACUGUGCUUUUCAGCAAAAGCAUCUCAGCACCAACACACACACUCCCACACAAAUACACACUUACAUACACACACAGGCUGGCUAAAGGCCAAUCAAUAAUUCACAUAGUGCAGAUUGAAUGUAGAUCAGUGACUCAACAUGGGGGGAAAACACUAUGGCUCUCCACCUCUAUGGCUCUCUGAUUCUCUUCCUUUCUUCACGUUUCUCUGUCUUUUAUCUCUCCCUGCUCCAUUUUUCCCCUCGUCUAUUUUUGCCUCCAUUUCAAACAUCUGUCAUAUUCAUUUUUUUCUUUCUUUCUUCUCAUUUUUCUGCUUCAUUUCAUCUAUGUCUCAUCUUUCUCUGCUUCACUCUGCCUUCACUUUGAAUCCCUUUUGGUAUUUUGGGUUGGUGUUUUGCUGAGCAGUUCUGCUAUUUUUCUUGUGUUACCUCUAUUAAAGCUCUUUAAGUCUCCUUAAAAACACUGCUAAAGACAGUCUGUAGGUAAACAAGUUGAAUUGGUUCACUGAAUCUAGCUACCAAUAGCAGAGCUAUCACCAUCAGCCUUCACUCCUCCUUGCAGGCUGAUGCCCACAUGCCUGUGCUGGUUAUGCAUUGUAGUGCAAUGAGUUAUACAGCAACUUAACCAGAAGCAGUUCCAGUGAGCUAACACUCACCAUCAUUUAAACUUAAUUUUUAAGUAGACAAUGAACAUUAAUCCUAUAUAUUCAAAAAAACAAAAGUUAUAAAACUCAUAAAAGUUAAGCCUGACUUUAUCCCGUCGUUAGGUGACCUGGAAUACGUUGAAGAAGUCUGCUUUAGUUGUUGUAAGUUGUUGAAGGAGGGCAUCUAUUUUUUUUAAAUUGCAUCGAUAAAAGCAAAUCUAAAAAAAAACACCAGCUACAGUAAGGGGUUGACAGGGAAGAUCCAACACUGUUGAAUCACCAAACCUCGGGUUCAAGUUGAGUCUCAGGUCCUCAAUGCUCAAGUUUGAGUCUAGUCCAGAUCACUAAAGAGGAGUCAAGUCAGUGGCUUUUUAUUAUUUUUUCACCUUAAAUUACUUACUGUGUGAACCUGAACUAACUAUGUCCAGCCUUUAUCAAUAAAUAGGUCCAGAUACUCCUUAUUACCUUCAUGAAAUUUGGGUCCUAACACGAGUCCCAAAAAUCACUGCUCAAGCACUACAGUCCUGGCUUAAAGCAAGUAGUUCACAGGUCAUUUGAAUGGAAGCCCAAAACACUCAAAAGACAAUCAAACUUGAGCUCACUUUUUGAAACGUAGAGAUUACACAGUCCACUGGUUAACAAGUUGAAUGGUUUGAUGACUGUGGCUAACAAUAGCAGAGCUGGCACCACCAUGCUUGUGCCAGUAGUGGUUUAAACAGCCUAAAUUCAACUUUAUCUGCAUUUCCUAAGUCGAAAUACUGACAAACAUGCACUGCAUUUGUGAUCUGUGCUCAUUUACAUCUGGGUGGUAGAGCUUUAUAGCUCUAUGGUAGUAUGAAAGCCUUUUAUUGCAGGCAGCUAAAUAGCUUGGACACAACAUAUGGGCAGUGUUUCAGCCUAAAAUAAAGAAAAUUUAACUAAUUUGUUUGAACAUGAACAUAGCUGGUUUCACUCAUUUUCCCUCUCAUAAACUCCUACUUUAAAUUUUCAUUUUUGGAAUCAUUUUACUACCAUUCAUCCACCAACAGCUCCCAAUUUCCCCUUUUUUUUAAAACUUUCCGUACCCCCUUUUUCGUCUUCUCUCCAACCCAUUUCUCCACCUCUGGCACAUCCUCCAAUCCUCUUCUACUACAUGAAGCACAUAAAGUUUUAAUUUUUGUCCUUUCAAAAAACACUCAUCAUUCCUUCUCCUCCAUCAAGCAACUCUUGUUUCUUUUUAAAGCUCACAGCACACUAAAAUGCUCCCAUCUGAAAGCUUUACUCUGACAGUUCCCCCGUCUUGACCUCUUCAAACACACACCGGCUUAUUAUAAUAUGCAACAGAAAUCACACACAGCGGUGGCAGCCCACUCACAGAGUUGAGGAGAGGACAGCAGGGGCAUCACAUUUCAACACAGUGAGAUCCAGACAGACAAACACACACACACACACACACGCACACACACACACAGAAGGGAAAGACUGUGCGGAUCACAUAACUGGAGUAGAGUUCUGUCAAAACAACCAUUACUGGGGUGCUCGACUGUCUGUCAGGGUGUAGCAUCCAAGAGGGAAAUGGACAGAUACUAGUGUGUUUAUUUGGAUUCAUAAAAGAAGAACAAGUUUGGCUGUCUGUAGAUGGCGUUUGAAGUUUGUGAUAUCUUAAAAUAACAGAUAUUUGGUUUGUAUUGUUCUCCAUAUGUACUACAAAAUAGCAGUGAGAAUAGUUUAUGAUGGAAAUGUGAUUUUAGAGUACAUCAAUAAUGACUGUUCAAUUUUCAAAGCUGCUAUUGUAAAAACAAGAUAAGAUGCCGUAUAUGACAGUGAUGGAAACUGAUAGGAUUUUCACGAAACUAACACCAUUACUGAUUCUGUGUAUCACUCCAUUUCUUUAUUGAUUUCCUUAUCAGGUCUUGUGUAUCACCUGCCUUUGUGGGUUUCUGUGCCAACAACACUGAUUGUAUUAAAAGUUUACUUUCACAACUUUCCUAAGGUGGGAAAGCCUGGCUUUUGAUUGGGCCUGUCAAGGUUACAUUCUAGGUACAGCCUCUGACUGGUGGAUGAACCUUAAAAAUGGUGGCAGCCUUCCUUUGGCUUAGCAAUCCACAGCAAUAAUGCUAUGUCUAAAAUCAGUGCAUAAAUCAUCACAGAUUACCUUUGUUUUUGAGGGUUUGGGUCGGAACAGUCUCUGAAAAUACACAGAUUUCCUCUGCAGUGUCCUUGAAUGACCCACAAACACACAGAAUUAAUCACCAGAAGUUUGCCGGUCUCACGAAGCGAUUGGAUUUUACAGUAAGUCAGUACAUCCUACAGUUCUAUUUUUAAAGCUGCUAUUGUAACGCAAGGAGGAUCUUUGAUAUUUACGUUUUGGACCAAUAUCUUCUUCUGUCCACCAUAAUUACUGCCUUGGUAGUCCGUCAUACAGACUGCCUCCUGAAAUGCAUCACAUUUUUAAAUUAUUUUCAGGUGUAUUCUGAGGACAAAAACAUCUUAUAUCUUGGAAAAUAUAAUUAUUUGUAACUAAUUAUUGCAAAUGUACUACUUUCAGAUUACCUACAAAACAUCAAACAGCCAAACCAUCAGAUAAGGCUAGAUGAAAUACUUCCUUGACUCCGUAAAACCUGCUGAAUCUAAAGAAGUGCUGUAGGACAUGAGUAAGUUUUGUUGCACGUUUAAUGUGUUAAAUAUAAAAGAUAUUAUUUUUGGUCCAUUUAUUUCAACAAAUUAUAACAGAUAACAGUAAAUUCUGUUAUAUCAUAGAGUCAGCAUUAUCAAGCAUAUCAUCAUGUCCCCAGAUUUUAUAAUGAGGGGGAGAGAGAGAGAGAGAGAGAGAGAAAGAGAGAGAGAGAGAUUGCACAUUGGAGCGUUAACAUCCCAAAUGGUGCUUUUUCUGCCAGCCACUGGGCUGCAAAUGUGUGUGUGAGUGUGUGCACUGUGCACGUGUGGGAGUGUAUGUGCCGGGAUGCAGCCAACUCCCUGAGGUAAGUGAUCCUGCUGAACAGGUGUUACAUCUGCCCCCACCCUUCAACCCACAGACACACACACACACACACACACACACACACACACACACACACACACACACACACACACACACACACACACACACACACACACACACACACACACAGAGGCUAUCAGAGCUGCCGUCAGCCAUGACUGAUCUGAACAGAUCUGCUCGUUCCACACCAGACGGAUGAAUCUGAGCCACCAGCUGAUCAGUCAGCUGAUCAGCGUGCAUGUAUGUGUGUGUGUGUGAGAGAGAGUUCCUGCAUCAUUUAUGUUUAUUUAUACAUGGAUGAGUGUUGUUUCAAAUACUUUCACACACACACCUUUAGGACUACCUGUCUUUCCAUGCAUAUGCACGUGUAUGUGUUUGUGUCUGGUCACGGCCUUGUACACACACCAGUGAAUUUUUUGAAUACUAUACAGUGAUUACUUAGGAUGUUAGACAAGUUGUUGGACAAAACAGAUGAGACCUAACAGCAACAAGUUACUACAAAUAUGAUGAUACUAACCGACUGAAUCAUUAUCACUAUGAGUAUCUGUAUCAUUAUGAGUAUCAUCAUAAUCAGUAUCAGUAUCAGAUUCAGUACCAUUAUCAGCAUCAGUUUGAGUAUCUGUAUCAUUAUCAGCAUCAGUACCAGUAUUGGUGUUAGUAUCACCAUCAGUAGCAGUUUUAUUGUUAGUAUCAGUAUUGGUAUGAGCACUGGUAUUGGUAUUAGCAUUGGUAUCAGUAUCAGUAUUGGUAUCGUCUAUGAAAAACCAACAUAGGUCAAUGCCUUAGUAUUUAUCCCCCGUCUCCUGAAAUGCUAGAAUCAAAUACUAGGGUAUGAGCUGUGCAUACUUAAGAUUUUGAGACUUACAGACUUUGUCGCAUUGGUCAUCUCAGGAGUAGACUUUUUCCCAAAUUAUGACCUCCAUGCUCAGUUGGUCUCAGGUGCACAUACGUUCCCAGGACAAGGUGACAUUUUACCUUCUGAUUAUCCCAGAGGGACAAGGGUGGAGUUUGGGUUGGGAGUCUGUCUUUAAUCUCUGUCCUCUCUGUCUUUUUGCCAAACUCUGUACAUCUUUCCCUCUCUCCAUUUGUCUUUUCCUCACAUGAUAGCGGGCAGCGUGUCCAGAACCCAGCUGGGGAAGUGAGAAACCCACACAGACGACAAACACCCGGGACAGAUGGUCAGAGAGAGAAAGAGAGGAAGGGAGAGGUGCACAGAGUAAAGUCUACUACCACUCCAUCAGAUACUUUUCUUCUCUUAUAAGAGAGAUAGUUUUCUGUGGAAAGAGAAGGACACGAACCACUUAUUCAGACUGAUGCUUUCGCUAAUUUAAAUCUAACUGUGUUAAAUGAUACUUUUUUAUCUUAAUUUGUAAAGAUGAUGAUCUUGAGAUAGUUUUGAUCACUCACUGGUGUCCAGGGAUGCCUGGUUGAUGCAGCACUUGCACUUUUCAGGAGGUUCAGUUGGGUUGCUUCAUGCAGGCCCAGUUUAUGUAAAAUCAUUAUCAUCCAUGACUUGAAGUUUUUGAUUUUCACAUUUUUGAACAGGCUUCUCUGGUACCUACAGGUCCUGGAUAUGCAAAUUUUUUGUUCUCUAAUAAGAUAAUCAAGAUCAUCUUGGUCACGCACUGAUGUCCAUGGAUCCCUGGAUAAGGCAACAUUUUUGCUAAUCAUUGUUGCCUGCAGGAAAUAUGACUGAUCUGAACAUGCCAACCUAAGAUCAGCUUUUGCGAUGCAGUCACCUGCUGACAUCUGUCUGAUCAGUUGUACCUGUACACUUAGUUUGUUGGUGGUAGCUUAAACUCUUCAUCAUUAUACUUCGAAACCAACUACAUGUUACUUUUAACUUGUCUGCUGAGCAGUAUGGGAGCUUCUAUGGGCGGUAUGUGCCAUUCAAAAGCAUGAUAUGGUUAUUUUCCUUGACAGUCAGGAGAAGAUGGUGUGGCAGCUUUACUAAGAUGUGCCAAAAUAACAAAAAAAAGACAUGAUCAAAACAAAAUAACCCAUUAAACAUGGACUGUAAACACAACAAAGUCUGCUGGGUCUAUAUGGUGGACUAAGAAAUCCCAAAGUUCAGGCUCACUGUAUCAAAUUUAAAAAGGUAAAAACACCAUUCUCUCCUCAGUACCAGAAUUGUCUUAAACCAAAAGAGGAAAAACAGGAAAGAGAGAAGAAAGAAGAUGGAGGACAUUGAAAGCCAAGUUACAGGAGAAAAGAAGUACUGCAUAUGAGAGGAGAUGAAAGGAGCAAAGAGAGAGAAAAAAAAGAGAGACUGUGGAAGUGCAAGCAGAGAGAGAGAGGGAGGGAUGGAGAGAGGUAUAAUGAAGUCCUCUGGGUCUCUGGUGGAAGAAGCCACAGCGCCUGCCAGCCAGCACAGCCUGGCUCUGUACAGAUGGCAGCAUGCUGGGAUACGCUCAGCUCACUUUCAAAUCAGGAAGUGGAUGUUCUUUCAAUUUAAUAUUUUGUUUUUUAUGUAAAAAAAAAAAAAAAAAAAGGACGGAGACUCUUUUAUCAGGAAGUCUCUGAAGCUGCUUCUAUAUUUAUACCAGGACAGUUAAAACCAGUGAGUUUACUUCUUGCUUUGCCGUACCAGGUGAUGCUGAGGAGUUCUGGAAGUUACUAUCACAGUUAUCUUGCGGAAAGCUGUGAUGCCGUUGGGAAGAAACAACCUUUAGAAAGAGUGUAAAUACUGGAUCGUCGUAGGAACAGGUUGUGUUUGAGUGAAGGACAGCCAAAGAGAGACAGUAGAAAUUUAGCAAGGUUGCAACCAACAACUGCUGCAACGGGAACUAAAACCUCCACCAUGGAGUCAUACCAGCGCCCCGAUACAUCAUUUCAACUCAAUCAAAUCCAAAGUGAGACGAGCACCAUCCUCGUUGACCCAAUCACUGUAUCUCAAAGCAACCAUGAAGCAGUCAUCAGACAUGUAUGUUCCUGUUCUGAAACCAAAAACAAAAGCCUUUCCUCCUUCCCUCAAACAUGCGGAAAAGAAAAACAAACUAUUUUGGUCAACUCGAGUUGAAUUCCUAAAAAUAUUUUUACUUCUGCAGAGAGGCCAAAACAUGUUAGCAGAAACAUGAAGAACCCUCAUGAAGGCUUUCAGCCAAAACAUCCCAGCUCCUCUAUUUCAUAGUAACUCUGUUUCAAACAUGCACUGGUCUCAGGAUAUGUUUGAAUUCCCUUCUGGGAUCAAUAAAGUAUAUAUCUAUCAUAUCUAUCUAUCAUAUCUAUUUAUCAGCUUAAUUUCAGAUGUCUGAUAUUAGAUUGCUCAAUCCGUCUUAAUGUCUAAACUGUUGGUUUAGGACUACAUGUUCAGUAUAGUGGCGACCGAUAACAGUUUUUCAACCGCCAAUAUCAAUACCAAUACCAAUAAUAAGACAGCAGGUUGGCCGAUAUCUAAUGGCAAUCACAUUGUUGUUUUUUCUUUUACAUUUUAUGCAUUUGACAAAAUUUAGUAAUACUGAUAUAUGAGAGACAAACCAAAAUUUUAUGCACAGUGUCCUUUGUCCCGUGGAAGAAAGUGAUAGCCAAUUAGGGAGCUAGCUGACUAAAAAGGCAUUUGCAGUAAAUGCAACCAUGGCAACAAUGGUAAACUGAGAUUAAGAAAAAUGCAGAAUUAACUUAUCGAUUUAUGACUACAAGGUAAGUGUUUACACAGCAUGUUCGAUAAUAAAUACUACAACCAAAAUGACAAGGUAGAGGGUACUAUAGGGGGUUAGGCAGCUAUCAAUAGUUAGCACCCACAGUCCGCCAUGUUUGUCUACUCUAAAUUAAUCAUUUGUCGUCGUGUGUGGGGUCUCUGAUGUUUCCAAAAUCAGUUGAGAUUUUCUCAUUCCGCACCCUCACCCUUAUCCCUCUCCAUCUUUUCCUCUCCACCUAUCUUCUUAUCCUCAGGGCUCUGAUGAGGGUUUGUCAUGCCUGGAGCUUUAGUAGAUCCUCAGAGAAGCUUCACCAAAUCAAUGACAGCAACAAGUUUAACAAUGUCCAACUAAGAUCUACGCCAUGGCUAUAAUUAUCUAACUUUCCUCUUUAACUUGGAAGCAUGUUGCAGUGAUUUUUUUGUAUUUUAUCCCUGUUGUAUUCUUGAGAUUGCAAAGCAGGUGUGGAUCGAAAUCAAUGCAUAAAGCUAAUUUGCAGCUGAAGUGGCCGUGCUGAACGGUCACCCUGUUUUUAAUCAUGAAUCCCCAGGAGUGUACUGCCACAGUACUGCGAGUUCACCUUAAAAGACCCAAAGCUGGAGACCUGGUGCUCUUUUAGUCUUAUAACAAACGCAAACCUGCCUCAGACUCUGAAUAUGUCACUAUGUCAACAUCAAAAUUCAGUCUUCUUUGAGAGUUAUAACACAUUCAUUAUCCUUUUACUUAAUGAAUAUCCACUUAGGUAAAUUCCCACAGUUCCCAGAAUGCCUGGCAAAUGCUCCGAGACUGCAGAUAAAAGGGUAGUUCAGUAACUUCAGACAGUGAUUAAUAAAUAAAUAAAUGAAAUUAGUCAGAGUCAAAGAGCUUUUAAAGUCAAGGAAAAAAACAAGUGUUACUCAUUGUUUCUAAAAGCAUAACUCAUCCUCUGACUUCGCUUCGUUCUGCAUUCAUGAAACAAUAAUUGGUGAGGACAAAUUUCUCACUCUGCCUCUUCAAAUAUUUCUCCCAUUGUGAGAAAUUGGUGCAGAAUAUGACAGGUGCCAAAUAAAGUGAGCAACUGUCCCUGUUCAACUAAGAGCUCCAGUUGGUUUUUCCAGUUUUUUUUUUUUUUUUUUUUUUUUGCAGAAUCACACAUUUGUUCAUGAAUAUAAUGUUCACAGCAAAAAUUCUUUCUUUGUUUUUAAUGCUGACAUACAGAGGAGCUUAGUGCAAAAAAGAAUGUAGUUUUAAGAGCUUAGAUUCCUCAAGUCGACACCAGCUUUCUUGAUAAGCUACUGGAUGUUUUUAUGGGUGCAUCCAAAACUUAAUAGGCCAAAGUUUACAGACUUCAGACCAAAUCUAUAAAAUCUUGGACCUCCAGAUGGUUUGAAACCAGUCAGCGAGAGUAGUUGCAGGUCAUUGCUGCUCCUCUUCCUGCACGUCUCCAGUGUGAUGAAACUUAGGCUGUCACGAUUCAUCUCCAGAUUUCAACAGUCAAUCACCAUCAUUUUGCAGCAUUUUGCAGCUCUAUGCUGAUUCAUACCUUCUAAUUUGUGCUCUGUCAGAUUUUGUGUUGCGGUUGCUCGCUGACAUCAUCUGCGCCCGUAAGCUCAGCUCUUGGACUGUAGCUCAAACUUAAACACUUUGGUGAUAUUUUCAUCUCUUUUGAUGCAAAUGUUACUUUUGACUUGUCAGCCAUUGAGGUGCCUUUGAAAAGCACAGCUGAGCGGUUAUUUCCCAUCAAGAAGCAGAAGGACGCUGCAGCAGCUUAACCAUACUGAGUUGAUGAAAUGGCAUAAAAGAAAUGAGUUCAUUUGGACCUUAAUCAUAUUGAGAUAAUUGUGUUUAAUGCUAACAGCCCUCAAUCAAACUAAUUCAAACUCUGCGUGUUAUCACCAUUUUAAAAGUGUCUUUAGGACAUCUUCAGACCUUGAAAAAACUGCCCCAGAACCACCCACUUUGUCUUUAAAAGCACAUGAUAUACAGUUAUCACCUCUUCAGACGAAGACUUAAACCACUUUAGCAUUAGAUUGCGCAGGUGAUCAUAGAGUUUUGGCUGAUCAGUGUAUAUCUGCAGGUUUGAAGACAUUAGGUAGGGCUUAAGUGGAUGCUAAAAAUCUAACAAAAUAUUUAACCACAACUCUCAGGGGAAAACGUAUUUUUUUCUGUACAACAUGUACGAAGGAUGAAAGAGCAACCUAGCCAGUAUUAUUUUCUGUUGGAAUUACACUCUCUUUGCCAGAUUUUUCUACUCAUUAUCGUUGUCUUGAAUAUUCCUGCAUGUCUCUUUUUGCAUAAAAAUACAAAGGCAUAUUUCUUGUUAGUUUCAAAUUGCUUGUGAUGGAGGCAUGGCUCCAGGAUAGUAAGUUUAUUUUAAUUGUCUGCUAAAAUAAAGAAAAAAUUCACAGUCUUCUGUUCAUAACUUUGUGAUCUUGG
Xyrichtys novacula (pearly razorfish) is the source of this 9687-nucleotide non-coding RNA. NCBI's taxonomy places the organism in Eukaryota, Metazoa, Chordata, Actinopteri, Labriformes, Labridae. The record is from the annotation of a GenBank genome assembly.